UUUAAAUACAAUUGUGAGUUUAUAUGUCAAUUGUUUGACCGUCUAUCUUAUUUAAAACUUUUCUAUGAUUAGUAUUUUUUUUUGUUGUUAUUAGAUGAUAAAAUAUAAAUAGUACUUUAUGCGUUAUUCUUUUAUAAUUUUUUUUAAAUAAAACGGACUGUCACAUGUUAGACACGAAGACUGACUGCUGUACUUAAA
This 198-nucleotide microRNA precursor is filed under the name Oryza glumipatula. RNAcentral describes it as "MIR812 microRNA precursor family". It matches the Rfam family "MIR812 microRNA precursor family". Lineage: Eukaryota; Viridiplantae; Streptophyta; Magnoliopsida; Poales; Poaceae. The record is from Rfam by way of RNAcentral.